GGCAAGGGCCAGCAACGCCAUGGACGGCUGGGGACAAAAUGUGCUGUUUCCAAGGAGAGGACAGCUGGGUGCUCCUUUGUUGAGUCUCAUAUCCAGUGUUUCUCUUCACAGGUUUUGCAAACUAGGGACCAGAAAGCCCUCAGGGACUCUGCCAGGGGAGAAGACUGCUCCAGGGAAGACCAGCGGGUAAGGCCUCGGGGACUGAGUACCUGGUCUGUGAUUGGGGGACUAGAUAGGGAUCCGUCAGAGUCGUCUGGUAAAUAGUGACUUUCUGUAUGUUUUUUAAAAGUCUGAAGGUUGAUAAUUCAAAUGCUUUCUUAAAUGUAAAGGUCUUCCACUUCGAAACAAAAAAUGAAAAUACCUCACUCUGGACAUGUAACAAUAUCUGAAGGAGACUUAGUUUAGAAUGGUUGAAACUGACAAUUCAGAGACUUAAACUCGGGCAUGACUGUGCGCUAUGCAUACAACCUCUGACAACCCAGAAUGAAUGCAUUUUGCCCUAAAGGAAAAAAAAA
This 515-nucleotide long non-coding RNA is filed under the name Rattus norvegicus (Norway rat). RNAcentral's name for it is "long non-coding RNA NONRATT008392". Lineage: Eukaryota; Metazoa; Chordata; Mammalia; Rodentia; Muridae. The record is from RNAcentral.